This 1145-nucleotide ribosomal RNA is filed under the name Salmonella enterica subsp. enterica serovar Kentucky. RNAcentral describes it as "partial 23S ribosomal RNA". It matches the Rfam family "Bacterial large subunit ribosomal RNA", at positions 627 to 1767 of the family's 2925-position model. The record is from RNAcentral. Lineage: Bacteria; Pseudomonadati; Pseudomonadota; Gammaproteobacteria; Enterobacterales; Enterobacteriaceae.
CUUAUAUUCUGUAGCAAGGUUAACCGUAUAGGGGAGCCGAAGGGAAACCGAGUCUUAACUGGGCGUUAAGUUGCAGGGUAUAGACCCGAAACCCGGUGAUCUAGCCAUGGGCAGGUUGAAGGUUGGGUAACACUAACUGGAGGACCGAACCGACUAAUGUUGAAAAAUUAGCGGAUGACUUGUGGCUGGGGGUGAAAGGCCAAUCAAACCGGGAGAUAGCUGGUUCUCCCCGAAAGCUAUUUAGGUAGCGCCUCGUGAACUCAUCUUCGGGGGUAGAGCACUGUUUCGGCUAGGGGGUCAUCCCGACUUACCAACCCGAUGCAAACUGCGAAUACCGAAGAAUGUUAUCACGGGAGACACACGGCGGGUGCUAACGUCCGUCGUGAAGAGGGAAACAACCCAGACCGCCAGCUAAGGUCCCAAAGUCACAGUUAAGUGGGAAACGAUGUGGGAAGGCUCAGACAGCCAGGAUGUUGGCUUAGAAGCAGCCAUCAUUUAAAGAAAGCGUAAUAGCUCACUGGUCGAGUCGGCCUGCGCGGAAGAUGUAACGGGGCUAAACUGUGCACCGAAGCUGCGGCAGCGACGCUUAUGCGUUGUUGGGUAGGGGAGCGUUCUGUAAGCCUGCGAAGGUGUCCUGUGAGGGAUGCUGGAGGUAUCAGAAGUGCGAAUGCUGACAUAAGUAACGAUAAUGCGGGUGAAAAGCCCGCUCGCCGGAAGACCAAGGGUUCCUGUCCAACGUUAAUCGGGGCAGGGUGAGUCGACCCCUAAGGCGAGGCCGAAAGGCGUAGUCGAUGGGAAACGGGUUAAUAUUCCCGUACUUGGUGUUACUGCGAAGGGGGGACGGAGAAGGCUAUGUUGGCCGGGCGACGGUUGUCCCGGUUUAAGCGUGUAGGUGUGUGUUCCAGGUAAAUCCGGUUCACUUUAACACUGAGGCGUGAUGACGAGGCACUACGGUGCUGAAGCAACAAAUGCCCUGCUUCCAGGAAAAGCCUCUAAGCAUCAGGUAACAUCAAAUCGUACCCCAAACCGACACAGGUGGUCAGGUAGAGAAUACCAAGGCGCUUGAGAGAACUCGGGUGAAGGAACUAGGCAAAAUGGUGCCGUAACUUCGGGAGAAGGCACGCUGACACGUAGGUGAAGUGAUU